This is a non-coding RNA of Schizosaccharomyces pombe (fission yeast), 427 nucleotides long. Lineage: Eukaryota; Fungi; Ascomycota; Schizosaccharomycetes; Schizosaccharomycetales; Schizosaccharomycetaceae. The record is from the annotation of a GenBank genome assembly.
CGCUCAUUUUCUACAGUAAGAAACUGCAUGUGUCCUUUUUCUUUUGCAGCUUCCACUCUAGCGAAUCUGAACGGUUAAAUUCUUAAAAUCAUUUUAAAGCUUUUUCUUACUCUUUUUUUAGCAUCUCCAAUCUCUGUUCUCGAUAAGCAGUAUCAUCAAAUUCAUCCAACUGUGAAAAGAGCGCAUCUUCCAAUUCUGAAUCACUUUCGGUUGCAGCUUGAGUAGCAUACGUAUCAGCGUAAAGAUCAACUGUUGGGUCGUUACUAAUGUCAACAUUAGACAUAAUAUGUACGCUACUGUAACCUACCUAUUAUGCAGUUCUGGUUCAUUGUAAUCCUGAGUAUCCUCCUUUCUUUCAGUAACCUUCAAAGCUUCAUACUCGUUGGCGAUUUCCUUUUCCAAAGGAGAUUUCAUAGAAAUCCAAGCA